UUUUAUGAGAGUUUGAUCCUGGCUCAGGACGAACGCUGGCGGCGUGCCUAAUACAUGCAAGUCGUACGCUUCUUUUUCCACCGGAGCUUGCUCCACCGGAAAAAGAGGAGUGGCGAACGGGUGAGUAACACGUGGGUAACCUGCCCAUCAGAAGGGGAUAACACUUGGAAACAGGUGCUAAUACCGUAUAACAAUCGAAACCGCAUGGUUUUGAUUUGAAAGGCGCUUUCGGGUGUCACUGAUGGAUGGACCCGCGGUGCAUUAGCUAGUUGGUGAGGUAACGGCUCACCAAGGCCACGAUGCAUAGUCGACCUGAGAGGGUGAUCGGCCACAUUGGGACUGAGACACGGCCCAAACUCCUACGGGAGGCAGCAGUAGGGAAUCUUCGGCAAUGGACGAAAGUCUGACCGAGCAACGCCGCGUGAGUGAAGAAGGUUUUCGGAUCGUAAAACUCUGUUGUUAGAGAAGAA
Molecule: ribosomal RNA, 470 nt
Filed under: Enterococcus faecium
Lineage: Bacteria; Bacillati; Bacillota; Bacilli; Lactobacillales; Enterococcaceae
Description: bacterial SSU rRNA
Rfam family: Bacterial small subunit ribosomal RNA
Source: RNAcentral